RNAcentral lists this ribosomal RNA (253 nucleotides) under uncultured bacterium. RNAcentral describes it as "partial 16S ribosomal RNA". It matches the Rfam family "Bacterial small subunit ribosomal RNA", at positions 524 to 776 of the family's 1533-position model. The record is from RNAcentral.
UACAGAGGGGGCAAGCGUUGUUCGGAAUUACUGGGCGUAAAGGGCGCGUAGGCGGCCUUCUAAGUCGAACGUGAAAUCCCCGGGCUCAACCCGGGAACUGCGUCCGAUACUGGAAGGCUUGAAUCCGGGAGAGGGAUGUGGAAUUCCUGGUGUAGCGGUGAAAUGCGCAGAUAUCAGGAGGAACACCGGUGGCGAAGGCGGGUCUCUGGGCCGGAACUGACGCUAAGGAGCGAAAGCGUGGGGAGCGAACAGG